This is a long non-coding RNA of Carassius auratus (goldfish), 1698 nucleotides long. Lineage: Eukaryota; Metazoa; Chordata; Actinopteri; Cypriniformes; Cyprinidae. The record is from Ensembl.
AUGCGCGUCGCCGCUGCUGGUCUGGGAUCAGACUCCCCCUCACGUCGUGAUGCUCCCCAAACCCCAGAUGGCUCUUCUAUGGAAUCACUGCGACAACUAGCUUUGGGAAUUCUUAUUUUUAUGAGUGUGGAACGUUCCAUGGAUUUUAAAGGCUCUUCAUGAUACCAUCAAUGCCAAUAAAUAACCUUUAUUUUUAUCUAAUGUAUUGCAUAAGUUACUUAUUCCUACUUGGCCCAUAAACUUCUAUUGUUAUUGCAUUACUCUAAACAUGUUUUUGUUUAGACAAACUUUUAGACAAAAUCAUUUUCUGGCUUGUAAUGCUUUAAUUCUCAUUUAAAUCAAACCUCAAGCUCAUUGACAAGGUCUUGUGGGAAGUUCACACCGCAGAGCUCCUUUAUGCACUGAUAUUUAUUGCCGUUUGUCUGCCAGACCAGCUUCUGAGGGAGCAUUAUCUGUCCUUCCUCCCUGGUUUGCAGCUCUGAGAACAGCCAGUGCCUCUUCCUGCAGGAUGAGGAGAUCAUAAUGAAGUGCAGAGAGGUGGUGUGCUAGCCUUGGCUGUGCCUCCACUCCCUAUUCUUUAUCUUGCCUCUGUGGGCUCUGUGUGGCUCAUUGUGAUGCCGGUGAAUGCUGAGUCCUGGCCGGCCGGUUUAUUGUCAGGUCUUGCCCUCUGCUGUGGGUCGGUGCUAGGACAAUGUGCCUUUGUCAUUUGAGCCAUGUUCACUUCCUGUCCCGCAGCCUCACUGUAGGACGAGAGCAGAGGCAAAUGAUUCCCAUGCAAAAAAUAUCGUACAGCUUCUACUUAACAAUGGUAUUAAAAUGCACAUGAAGUGCACACAGCAAUUCGUACAUAUUUUACAAGAUGGCUAAUUCGUAUGAAUUUGUACGAAUUAUCUACACCUAACCCCACCCCUAAACCUAACCGUCACUGGGCUUUAGACAAAUCGUUAAAAUCGUACGAGUGAGGUCGUACAAAUUCGAACGAAUUAGCCACCUCGUAAAAUCCGUACGAAUUGGUCGUGAAAUAGCGUUGUCUGAACAGGUGACAUCAUGGACCAUUCACACAGACAAUGAUUUGCAAUGAUAUAUAUGUAAUUAGAUUACUGUAUUAAUUAGUCUUUCUAAACAUAAUUAAAUUGCGAUUAAUAAUUAAUAAUACAAAGAUAAUACAAAUAAUAUUAAAUUGCAUACAUUAUUCACGUACUGACUGAAGUAUUUAAAGGGAGAAGGUUACAUUAAAAAAAAAUAAUAAUAAUAUAAGACAUUAAAUUUUUAUGUUAAAUCCACUACUGUUUUAUAAUUGUUCUAUUGGUCUAUAACGUAUUUAAAGCAAAUCACACCAGAAGUAACAGUAAUUACAUUGCAGAAAAAUUAAGAGUAAUUCAUUACUUUACUGGGAAAGUAAUUAAAUAAAUUAAUAAAUUAAUGACUUGGUAAUGUACUUCACUUACUGCAUGCUUGGAUAGAAUAAAAAUGCUGUAUGCAAAUCCAUUUUAGAAAUUCUCAGGAUUAAAUUGUUUUUUUUUUGUUUGCUUUUUUUUGUUUUUUUCUGAAACAUUUUAGUUAGACGUUUGAGUUAAACAAAAAUGAUAAAGUAAUAAUAAUUAUAAUUGCAGAUGGAGAUGAAUGAUUUUUUGUUUAGUUUGGUCUUCUAGGCUCUACAGCAUUUGCAGGUCUGUAUUAUUGCACUUAAGAAGCCAA